AUUUUAAGUACUUUUUAAAUAUACAUUUCUAAUGAUGAAGACUUUUUAAAACACCACCAUCCUACCUGUUACACAUAACCGUAUUAACAAUGAUCCCUUAAUAUUUUCUGCUGAGUGACUUAUCUUUCUAAAUCAGCUCAACAGCGUUUAGUAAGAUGGGUGUGAGGACCCUGGGAGAGAUAUAAAGAUAAGGAAGACGAAAUCCUUGCUCCCUCGGGUGGGGAGAUAGGGACCAAAAUAGAAGGCAACUAUUUUCUUAACAAAAGGAACUUUUCAUUUACCAAAAGAUUCACCUUGGGACUCUUUUACAACACCUGCCUCUAGCUUGUGUUCAUGACUUACAGAAAACGGACUCGUCUCACUUCAUCCUUCAAGCCUCAGCCCAAACGUGUCUCCCAGAGUUGGGGCUCCUCCUGGACUCCCAGCGCACAGGGCAUAGACCUCCUUACACAGCUUGGGUUUCAAGUAUGUAAGCACAGACCCCACCUGCUCCCAAGCUGCCUGACCUGAGGUUCCAGACCUGCUCGCCUGGUUCUAGGCAGGGCUCUGGGCCGCUCACAGGCCAGGUGAGCAGAGCCAGGAACGAGAGGCCAGGCAGGACGGGGAGGGGGAGGGACAUGAGCAGGAUACCUGUGCACCAGCUCCUCAGUCUAGGGGAGCACUGUGGGAAGGCUGAGGAGUGUGUAGUGGCCCGAAGGACAACUGCACCCCCCAACUCUAUUUGGUGAAUGAAAUAAAGCUUAAGUUAGAAGGGACAAUUACUCUAUGUAUAGACAAUUGAAUAGUAUCCCCCCAAAAGAUAUGUCCAAGUCCUCACCCCAGGUACCCGGGAACGUAGCCUUAUUUGCAAACAAGGUCUUUGCAGACACGAUUGGUUUGAGGAUCUCAGAAUCAGAUCAUCAUGGAUUUAGAGGGGGCCCUAAAUCCAGGGAAGGGUGUCUUUACAAAAGAAAGAAGAGAGAGAUUUGCCACACAGACCCAGAUGGAAAGGCCAUGCAAAAAUGGAGGCAGAAAACGGGAGUGACAAAUCCACAAGCCGGGGAUCACCAAAGAUUGCCCACAGCCUCCAGAAGCCAGGAGAGAGGUGUGGGAGGGCUCCUCCCUCACAGCGUCCCGAGGGAACCGACCUCGCCUGCAGCCUGGUUUCUGAGCCCUGGCCUCCAGACUGAGAGAGUAGAGACCUGUUCUUUUAAGCCAGCAAGUCUGUGGUAAUUUGUUACAGCAGGAAACUGACCUCGUGUGUGUGUGUGUUUGUACAUAUAUGAGUAUGUCUAUAUUUUUUGAAUUCCCACUCAAUAAUAUAUCUCUCGGUUUAUAUAUUUCUUGGAGAGCAUAGAUAGUGAAUUAAUACUGCUAUUUUCUCAUGUUUUUCAAAACUAAGCCACUCUUGAGUGCGGGUGCACCUGCCUCACACCCCGCCUCCAUCUCAGCCUGGAGGAGAGCAGCCCCCUCUGGGGCACCUGUUCCCCCGGGAAUCACAGCCAGAAGGAAGCACAGAGCACAGAGAACUACCCACCUCAACGCGACCGGUUCAAUGAGCUCAAGCACCCUAGGUGACAGCAAGCAGCACAGAGCUGCAGUGCAGCUGCCUGCCUUUCGGAGACUGAUCCGCGGUGUCCACGGCAAGUUCAGGGGCCACGACUUAAUUACUCAACCUUAUGGAGCAUUAGAAGGCUUCGGCACGUGGUGGUGAGUUAUCUCAGCUGAGGCUCCUCCUCCGUCUACCAGAUCUUCCCCACGGCUGCCAGGCUAUCUUUCCAAAACCCAGAUAGUAUGGAGCUCCUCCUGCUCUCGAAUCCUUCGGGGCUCCCACACCAACCUCCUGCUGUGGCUACAGAACCCUUCACGUUUGGGCCCCAACCUUACUUCCUGCCACGCCCCCCACCCACUCUACACAGAACUCAUUGGCUCGGACGUGCAGGCCUCUGAGCCUUUGCACACACAGAUCCCUCCACCUGGAAUAAUACCCUUUCCACCUUCUCUGCCUGGUGAACCCCUCCGACCCAGCAUAAAAUGCCGACUGCUCUAGGAACACGUCCUAAAGAACUGAAAGCAGGGACUUGAGCAGAUAUUUGUGCACACGUGUUCAGAGCAGCGUCGUUCACAAUAGCCAAACGGUGGAAACCACCCAAGUGUCCAUCAACAGACGGAUGGAUAAACGAAAUGUGGGCUAUCCAUACAGUGGACUAUUACUCAUCCAGACUAAAGAUUGAGAUUUCGAUGCUACAACAUAGAGGGACCUCAAAAACAUUAUGCUUAAUGAAGUAAGCCAGACACAGAAGGGCAAAAUAUUAUAUGAUUCUACUUAUAAGAGGUAGCUAGAAUAGGCAAAUUCAUAGAGGCCCAAAGUAGGACAGAGGUUUCCGGGGCUGGGAGGGGGCGUUACAGGGACUUAGUGUUCACUGGGCAGAGUUUCUGUCGGGGAGGAUGAAAAGUUUUGUGUAUAGAAAGUAUAGAUACAACAGCAUUGUAAAUGCAUUUAGUUUCACUGAACUAUACACUUACGAAUGGUUAAAAUGGUAAAUAUUAUGCUAUGUAUGCUUUACCAUAAUUUUUUUAAAACUCUAAAAAAGACAUGCCAGUGGCUCUGAGGCAUCUCCUUUAACUUCCCGGAGAUGAUCGGUUCUUCCCUUCUCUGUUGUCCAUUCGGAAUCUUUCCGUGGUACUCGCUUGCUGAAUUGUACUUUAAAUGUCCGUUCACACGUCCAUCCCCUGGCAGACAGGGAGAACCCAGAGGGCAGGGGCUCAUCUUUGUCAUCUCAGGCUUUCCCCCAGCACAGUGUCUGGCACAGAAUAGCUGUCAGGAAAUGUUUAUUGGAUGGAAAACAUAAGAACUCUGUGCUGUGGACUGAACUGCAUGCCCCCCAAAUCCGUAUGUUGAGGCUCUGACCGCCACUGUGCCUGUUUUUGGAGAUGAGGCCUUUCCAGAAGGAAUUAACGUUAAAUAAGGUCCUAAGGGUGGGGCCCUGAUCUGAGAGUGUCAGUGUCCUUAUAAAAGAGGAAGAGAUGCCAGAGAGCGAGCUCUCGCCACUCUGUGGGGACACAGUGACAACGUGGCUGGAAGAGUCCUCAUCAGGAUCUGAAUUUUCCAGCACCUUGAUCUUGGACAUUCCAGCCUCCAGAACUGUGAGAAAUAGAUGUUGUUUCAACCCCCCAGUCAUUGGUAUUUUGUCAUUGCAGCCCAAGCUGACUCAUGCACACGGCAUACAGACAGGAAUGGACGUAAUGCUCACAGACACAGGACCAUCAAGCCAUUUGGUGACCCGUAAUAUCAGUGUGGCAGGUGGUGUGAGCAACUGGCUCUGGGAAUUGAAGAAGGGCAAAGAGUUUCUAGGGGGCUUCUUGAUCUCUCAAGGAUUCAGCUGUUCUAGAAUCUCGUGGUGUGAGAAGUUCUUUCUGAGGUCUAACCUAAGUCCACCCCCCUCAUCCUCCUCGGUCCUCCCACACUGCAACGUGAGCCUCUCCAGAAAGAGUCCAUGAAAAGGUGGAAGACCCCGUUGUGGAAACCCAAACGUAAAUCUGCCCCAAACCAGGCCUGAAGCGUGGGUCUCCCUCCCCAGGAUUCUUUGCGCACUCAACCAUCGUCCUCUCCGAAGUCAAGUCUGCGUUCUGCAGGUCGGGGUUGGCAAAGACCAGGAAUCGUAUCCGCUUCCUCCCUCCGCCCCCCCCUCCACCUCUGACCCCCGACCUGAACCAGGACCACCAUGUCCCCUUCAAAUUCCAUGCUGAAAGUGCUUGUGGGACGGAUAGCUCCGUAACUACAACUUAGGUUGUAAAAAUGGUAAAUACAUGCCUAAGGGGCCAACCCCAAACUGCUAGAUGUUGCUUGAACUGCGGCCGGCCACAAUAGGAUUUAGAAAUUGGAACGGAAUGUUUUCCACUCUGCAGGGUGCAAACGCUCUCAUCCCACGGCCUAUCUUGACAACAUGAUGGUUGCUCUUCUCAACCCAGCCUAGAUAAUUGCGUAAUUAAUUGCGUGCAGGUAACUCAUCCAGAGAAGGUGGUUAUUAGGAGCGGGGAGCCCGACGCCCACUCCCUGGACGAUUACCAGGCUCGCCUCUGUGCCAGAUCCCGGCACGGAGGGGCUGCCAGCCGGUGUGCUCGGGGUCUUCUGCGCUCACCUCUGAUCACAGGAGCAGCUAGACCAGAGAGCCUCGCCCCCUCGCUAUUGCCUGUUUGCUCUGCUGGUUCAAGUCCGAGGCUGUUCCUUGGAACCGAGGCCCUGCCAGGGUGGUUGAAGUGAAGAUGUCUUCUUGUCUCGAGGCUUGAAAGGAUCAGGGGUUUCCCUUGGGGCUUUGGCCAGUCCCCCUUUGGGUUUCCUGAGACGCUUCUGGAAAGCCGGCCUCCACUUCCUUCCCCACCCACUCCCCCACUGCAGUCCACGUAGCUGGGCUUCGGUUUGGGAAGAUGAAAAGAGAUCUGGAGAUGGCUGGUGUGGAUGGUUGCACACAAUGUGAAUGUUCUUAAUGCCGUUGAAUUAUAUACUUAAACACGGUGAAAAGGGUAAAUUUUGUGUUGUGUACAUUUUGCCCCAAUAAAAAAUUGAUUAAUAAAAAAAUAAAUCGUGUGAAAAUGAACACCAUAAAAACUUUGUCUCAUAGAAAAAGCCCUAGGCCACUUUCUCCUAUUUUUUUCUCAGUAGAGGGAUAAUGGAGUAACUUCCACAUUUUGGCUUCUCUGCCCUCCUGCCAGAGUCAAUUGUUCCAGACCGUUCUGAGGAGGCAUCUGCAGCCUAAACGCUGACUCACUACCAGCCACAGCUCACACGAUCCUGUUGUAAUUUGAUGAGAAGUCAAACCCCUGUGCCCAGAGCAGGUGGGCAUUGCUAAGCAGCAGGACGCAGGCACUGGCUGGAGCCCCACCGGCCACCCCCUCCCGCGGCCGGUGGCCAGCCCCGGGCCUCAAGGAAAGGAACACCAUGAGUGUUGUCUUGCAGCAGCAGCAGUGAUGGCCACCGCCAUUUUAUUUCAUCUCUGGCCUCGAGGUAUGCACACUGCUGCCCUGCUCUUAGUCAUGUCACAGCAUCCACAAUUCUGCUUGUCAACCAAUUGGGAGUGGGAGGUAGCGUCACUGUACGGGGCACUGAGGAAAGAGGAAGACGCGGUCUCUCCAGCAGAGGAGGAAGACAGGAGGGGCGAGGUAUGCCUGGUGCUUUAACGGUGGCUGGUGACACACAGGGUCCAGAGAAAGGCUUCGUCAGGCCAGGACCCCACGGGCACUCGCUGUCGUCCUCAGGGUCCUUGAGCCAGUUUUAUUAAAGGUGGACAGAGGCCGGCCUGCCCUGUUGGCUGGUGCCCUCAGAGGCCUGGCAGUGCUGGCCUGACUCAGUGGGUCUAUGGGCUGCCUCCUGAGCCAGAGUUGACUGUGGCCAGCCAGAAGCAGGACAGGGCCACGAUUUCCUUGGCAACUGACCCUAACGACAGCCAAAGUGCACUGGUGAAGAGCUCAGACUGUGGAGCCAGAUGGCCUGGAUUUGAGUCCUGGCUCCGCCACUGACAAGCUGUGUGAUGUGGACAUGUUGCUAAACCUCUCUGAGACUGACAUGGGAACCAUGAUGCUACUCAGGAAAGCUCCUAGCAUGGUACCCGGUACCUAGUCCCCGGCUCCCAUCUUCUUCCCCAUCAGCAUCCAGUAGAAACUACAGUCUUGUUGGUUUUGGUAACAAGACUCCAGACACCCUCCUGUGCACUCAGCUCGUCCCUGCACCUCCCUCCAUCCAUGGAGAGGCAGCUUCUCAGGGACAACGAUCACUGUCAGAAUUGGCCAGUGUCCUGCAGAGCCAGAGGGGCUAAUUCCUAAGGCCUUGACUUGGGUGUUCUGCCCAUGUAGUCUCUGCUGGAUGACAAGGCGUGACCCAAAAGACAGGCAGAGAUGAUAACGAUGCCAACAAAGUACUAAAUACGGAGAGGAAGCGCUCUCGGUCCACAGGCCCAGAAGGCCGUGCUGCAGUGGGGAAAUCUAGUUGUGUGUAUAAUUCCCAGCACACAGUCAGCCUGCAGCAAAUACCAGUUCUCCUUCUUAGCCCCUUCUUUUCUUCUGGAAGACGAAUGACCCACUUUCUAUGCAUAAGAACUGGCAAGCACAAGGCAAGGCAAGGCCGAGGCCCAGCAGAACCAGCAGGGAAAAACCAUGGUCCCCUUGGGAUUGAGCCCCUUUGUUCCUUACAUGGACAGCCUCAUGUGCCAGCGACAACCAAAGGAGCCAGGGGACUGCAACACAAGUGACCAGACGCCCUGCUGCUGAGGCCCGUUCUAGGCUACGGCCAAGUAGGGUCAUAGCCGCAGCCAUACCCUGAGCGGUGAGGCGAGAAGUCUCAGACCUCAUCAGAACCCGGGAGGGAGGUGGGGAGAAACUGGAUAUCCAAUUGCUUCACCAACUGUCUCGUGACAGCCUCCUUGGUGAAGAGGGGGAGAGUGAGAAAUGGUCUUGUGGCAGCUCCUCACGAGCCUUCCGCGCUCUCAUGGUCCAGGAGGACCACAAGACCAACACUGAGACUAGCUGUGUUUCAAGACUUCUUGCCCUGUGACCUACGCUGGGCACAUUCAGGGGCCAGAACAGAGCUGUUGUCCUACAAGAAUAUCAGCAGGAUUGCUAAUAAAAUACUCCAUCAGACCCAUAGGAGAAGUUUGUUUCAACCACAAUAAUUUCUUAAAAAGGUGAUUUCUACACUUGGGUCUUAGUUCGUUGCUGUUUUUGUAAGUGAGCUUUAACAUACACAUAGUGAAGUGCGUAAAUCUUAAGUGUACAGCUUAAAGAAUAUUUACAUUUAUAUGCACACACAUAAUCUCCACCCCGAUACAGAACAUUUCCAGUAUCCAGAAAGUUCCCCAUGGCUCUUCCCUGUCAGUGCCCAGCCCCCUAGAGGCAACCACUAUUCUGACUCCUGUCACAAUUUUGCUUUUUCUCAAACUUCAUAUAAAUAGAAUUAUGUAGAAUGUACUCUUCUAUAUCAGCCUUCUUUUAUUCCAUAUGAUGUCUGUGAGAUUCAUCCAUAUCACUGGGUGUAUGCCGAAGUUCAUUACUUUUAAUUGGUGUGUGUUAUUCCACUGUAUGAAUAAACUACAAUUUAUUUAUCACAGAGCUGCCAUGUGCUUCCUUGUCCGUGUCUUUGGUGGACACACCCGUUUAUGCUGGGUGUAUAUUUAGGAG
Molecule: long non-coding RNA, 7149 nt
Filed under: Equus asinus (donkey)
Lineage: Eukaryota; Metazoa; Chordata; Mammalia; Perissodactyla; Equidae
Description: lncRNA (ENSEASG00005031707.1)
Source: RNAcentral